Molecule: transfer RNA, 47 nt
Filed under: Cnemaspis podihuna
Lineage: Eukaryota; Metazoa; Chordata; Lepidosauria; Squamata; Gekkonidae
Description: partial tRNA-Asn
Source: RNAcentral
AGGCCUCACUAGCCUGACGGGCCUCGAUCCCGUAAAAUAUUAGUUAA